GGCUCUGUGGCCUAAUGGAUAAGGCACCAGAAUUCAAAGCUGGGGAUUGUGGGUGCAAGUUCUACCUCGGUUG
This 73-nucleotide transfer RNA is filed under the name Danio rerio (zebrafish). It matches the Rfam family "tRNA". From Rfam's summary of the family: Transfer RNA (tRNA) molecules are approximately 80 nucleotides in length. Lineage: Eukaryota; Metazoa; Chordata; Actinopteri; Cypriniformes; Danionidae. The record is from Rfam by way of RNAcentral.